This 497-nucleotide ribosomal RNA is filed under the name uncultured bacterium. RNAcentral's name for it is "partial 16S ribosomal RNA". It matches the Rfam family "Bacterial small subunit ribosomal RNA", at positions 28 to 507 of the family's 1533-position model. The record is from RNAcentral.
GAUGAACGCUGGCGGCGUGCCUAAUACAUGUAAGUCGAGCGAACGGACGAGAAGCCUGCUUCUCUGAUGCUAGCGGCGGAAGGGCGAGUAACACGUGGAUAACCUACCUAUAAGACUGGGACAACUUCGGGAAACCGGAGCUAAUACCGGAUAAUAUUUUCAACCGCAUGGUUAAAAAGUGAAAGACGCUCUUGCUGUCACAUAUAGAUGGAUCCGCGCGGCAUUAGCUAGUCGGUAAGGGAACGGCUUACCAAGGCAACGAUGCAUAGCCGACCUGAGAGGGGAACCUGCCCCCCUGGAACUAGGACACGGUCCAGACCCCUACGGGAGUCAGCAGCAGGGAAUCGUCCGCAAUGGGCUCAAGCCUGACGGAGCCCCGCGGCAUGCGUGAUGAAGGUCUUCGGCUCGUAAAACUCUGUUAUUAGGGAAGACCAUAUGUGUAAGUACCUUUGCACAUCUUGACGGUACCUAAUCAGAAAGCCACGGCUAACUACGUG